CUCUGUUUUUGGAUUCUUGGUUCACCGUGGAGGCAUGUGAGAGAAACAAAGUCUUGUUCAACGAGCAGGAUUAUAGAAGAACUACUGGCCCAACCUUCAUGACACUUGGUGGAAGAGUGUAGCAUAGCCAAGGAAGAACCCAUAAAAUGUUGAAGCGGAUACAAAUCACAAGGGGGCCCUCGUCCACCAAAUAUUUGCCCUGCUCUUGGUGCUAUCUCAGUUGAGGGCCUGUCCGCUCCUCCCUGCAGCUCUGCUGGCCUGUUCCAGCCGUUACAGUGUGGGGAGGCCAUGAUAAGGUUAUCAGACAGUUACUCUGAAAGAGCCUGCUGCCCUCAGAUCACACCCCCCCCCCCUGCUCCCACUCACUCUGACUUCCCACUCAGCAUGUCCCCUCUCCUGUCAUCCCUUCUACAGCUUCUGCACAUCCAACCUCUGGACCUGCAGCUGGCGCUUUCCUAUCCCGUUUAUCAUCUCAUGCACCUUGAGAUUUGCCCAUUGGAGGGGACCCUAUCCCCAGGACGACAUAGGAGCAGAAUGAAGGGGAUGGCAUAUGGUUCCUGGGAUACCACUCGCCACAUGGCUUACAUCCAAGCCAGUAUCAGCGCUCACCACUGCUGAUAUAUUUUAUUGGCACGCCAGACAGGCGUGUUGAUAAAUUCAUCUUUUGCAAGAAAUGCAAAUGCAUUUUGUGAGGAAUUAAUGUAAAUGUGGCCUGCUCAAUGAAAAGUUAAUGAAGAGUCCAAAGGUCAUUAAACAUCACAAUUUAGAAACUUAAAAUGAAU
Cottoperca gobio is the source of this 782-nucleotide long non-coding RNA. RefSeq lists it as uncharacterized. The record is from RefSeq and is a predicted model, not a curated record. The transcript is spliced from 5 exons. Lineage: Eukaryota; Metazoa; Chordata; Actinopteri; Perciformes; Bovichtidae.